CAGAUAGCUCAGUGGUAGAGCACUUGCAUGGUAAGCAAGCGGUCGAAGGUUCAAUUCCUUUUCUGGG
This 67-nucleotide transfer RNA is filed under the name zebrafish metagenome. It matches the Rfam family "tRNA". Rfam says of the family: Transfer RNA (tRNA) molecules are approximately 80 nucleotides in length. The record is from RNAcentral.